GGUCCCGUUGCCUAGAGGCCGAAGGCACUCAACUCAUAAUUGAAUACAGUUAAUGACACAUCGCUGGUUCGAAUCCAGCCGGGAUCACCA
This 90-nucleotide transfer RNA is filed under the name Xanthomonas phage XbC2. RNAcentral's name for it is "tRNA-Met". It matches the Rfam family "tRNA". From Rfam's summary of the family: Transfer RNA (tRNA) molecules are approximately 80 nucleotides in length. The record is from RNAcentral. Lineage: Duplodnaviria; Heunggongvirae; Uroviricota; Caudoviricetes.